UACGGAGGGUGCAAGCGUUGUUCGGAAUUACUGGGCGUAAAGCGCGUGUAGGCGGUUUAUUAAGUCUGAUGUGAAAGCCCUGGGCUCAACCCAGGAAGUGCAUUGGAUACUGGGAGACUUGAAUACGGGAGAGGGUAGUGGAAUUCCUAGUGUAGGAGUGAAAUGCGUAGAUAUUAGGAGGAACACCGGUGGCGAAGGCGGCUACCUGGACCGAUAUUGACGCUGAGACGCGAAAGCGUGGGGAGCAAACAGG
RNAcentral lists this ribosomal RNA (253 nucleotides) under uncultured bacterium. Its description in RNAcentral is "partial 16S ribosomal RNA". It matches the Rfam family "Bacterial small subunit ribosomal RNA", at positions 524 to 776 of the family's 1533-position model. The record is from RNAcentral.